AAUGUCUUUCUAUCUAUUUGAGACAUGACUUCAUUUCUGGAUCACGAGACUCUUUGCUUGAAGGGACUACAUAAGGAGGUGCAAACCCCUCCUUCCUCAGCUCAGACUGAGUUCAGCCUAGACCCUUCUAGCUGGACUUAGUCUUUUCUCACCUUCUUCUUUAUCUUUGAUUCCGGGCUCACUUGAAUACUUCGAUCUUCUCUCAGAUAUGAGAUUAAUCUAGUCAAGUGCAAUUUGACCUGCAAAUGCUCUAUAGAAGUGGAUGAUGACGAAGCCUUCAUCCAAAAAUCCACAGAGGAGACCACAGUGGGAAUCUACAUUCUUAAAUUCCAUGACAGAUCAGAUGACAUCGGGAUUGUUCUGGAAGGCCAGAACAUCUUGCAAGGCUUGGACAACUUUGCGUUAGCUAUGGCAAUGCUUUUUGGUCUUAUGUAUGCCUUAAAUCUCAACUACCCACCUGAAAUAAAAAAUACAUUUGAGGUACUGCAGAAGAUAGUCUUCUGUUUUUUAAUAACUUGAUACUGUUCGUUUACUUCUGUAGCACAUACAUAAAAAUGAAUUGUACUCUUAAUAGAAAUACAUGAAUUUGACUUUUUAUGAUUUUAAAAUUGAAAACAAAAAUGUCAAGGUAUGCUUUUGACAACUUGAUAUUGUUCACCUUUUCCUCUACACCUGUUUGACGGUGUAUUUGUCUUAAUGUUUGUUUUGUUGCAGUUAUUGUAUGAAUGGUUAUUACUGUUCACCUUUUCCACAAUAUGUUUGUGCAUUGUCUUUUACUUGAAGUGAUGAAUAAAUGAAAUGAGUAAAGUGAUAUGAGUACUUA
Carassius auratus (goldfish) is the source of this 823-nucleotide long non-coding RNA. RefSeq lists it as uncharacterized. Lineage: Eukaryota; Metazoa; Chordata; Actinopteri; Cypriniformes; Cyprinidae. The transcript is spliced from 3 exons. The record is from RefSeq and is a predicted model, not a curated record.